CAAAAUCAUUGCUUAUUUUUGCCAGAAGAUUUGAUUUUGACUUUUCGAUAAUUCUACAGGCAAUGCAAUUUGUGGACAAGCCCAUGAAACCCAAAGGACCCUUCCACAUUUCUUGCCUCAUGACCACUUCCACGCAGCCGUGUCUCUGGUUCUCUGGCCAUCCUCCCACAACCUGGAGAGUUUCCACUUCGAAGCACGUCACUGCUGCAAACAUUGGAAUGCUUUCCCAUGGUUUACUAAACAAAGUGCAAAGCUGUCUGACAAUGCAGAUCACAGCAAAGAUCCAAGUGAUGCAUGCCCUUCGGCAGGAUCUUCCCCACCCUGGGUCUCAGUUUUAUCUUCUAGAAAAUACACGUUCAAGAGUGAGAUUUGCAGCUUCCUCCCUGCUCAGACCUCAUGAUUUUGACUCUGAAACCCAUUCAUAUAACUUCAUUAUUCUUGCUCCCAUGUGAGAAGGUAAGUCUAGUAUGAAUAUCAUUUUUGCCCAAACACUCCUGAGCAUUACAUAGACUUAAUUAACGUUUUGCUUCUUCAGAUGUUUUUUCUCAUGUGCAGGCUGUUUAUUAAAGGGCCACACAGCAUGUUACCUUCAAUCCUAAACAUUUCUGGGAGUCAGUUUCGUGCACUGCAGUUGAAGAUGAGAACUAUUGAAUGCUUACCCAGUGCCAGGCCUGUGUCUCCGCGCCUCUCGCCUGUCCCCGCUUAGCAUCCUAUGAGGUCGACACUGUGGUCACCCUCCCUUGGCCGGUGCAGAGCGGAGGGGAGGAGGUUAAUGACUUGGUUGGCCUGUCUGACUCGGAAGCGCUGUCUUGCUCACCUCCAGUGUGCUGGGACAGCACAGGAACCACCUCAGAGGUGCUCUGGAGAGAGUGACCAGCACCCACCCUUCCACGCUGCCAGGGGUUCUUCGAUGUGUCCAGUCUUCUCCUCCCAGCUGCGGGCCUCGAGCAUUUAUCUAAAUGUUUCGCCUCCUUCAGACCCUACCUUGCUUUCUCCUCUCCCACUGGGGGUGGGCUGGCCUCCUACCCCCUGAGAAAAUCAAGGACAGUGAGGAGGAGUGCUGUGGACUUCCCCUCUUUAUCUUCAUCAGCUGCACGGGCAGCUGUGCCUUCCUG
This is a long non-coding RNA of Pan paniscus (pygmy chimpanzee), 1115 nucleotides long. The record is from Ensembl. NCBI's taxonomy places the organism in Eukaryota, Metazoa, Chordata, Mammalia, Primates, Hominidae.